RNAcentral lists this unclassified non-coding RNA (565 nucleotides) under Hevea brasiliensis (rubber tree). The record is from RNAcentral. Lineage: Eukaryota; Viridiplantae; Streptophyta; Magnoliopsida; Malpighiales; Euphorbiaceae.
GUAGAAAUUUUCCCAGUUCCAAACAGAGGAAGCUUGUGAAGGAGUGCUAGAAUACGUCGAAUUUGCUUUCGCAUCGUAUGUAUAAUCCUCAUUAUAUGAAUUCAAACUUGACCCAGAAAGAAUGUGCGGAAGUUUCAGGGGCUUUUUCUGCUGCACCGGGGGCUGACGCUGAUGAGAGGAAACAGAGGAGGCAGAAAGUAUAUGAGGAAGCUUUGAAGAAGCUAUCGUCGGUGACGGCGACGGAAAAAACGGCGGUGGGGGUGGGGGUAGAUGAAGAGAAGGAGAAGGAGAUGGGAUAUGAAUAGGGGGUGGGGGUGGAGGGGUUUUGAUGUUAGUAGCAGCAGUAGUCGAAAAAGACGUACGGAGGAGAACAGCAGGAGUAUGAUCAGAAACAGAAAGUGGUUCACCGGCGGCAAAGGUAGAUAAAGCAGAACCCGUAACACGAAGUGAACGACAGUAAUCAGAAUGAGCUGCUGCUAAGUGAUGACGAGCAUAAACAGCUUCUUUCAUCAAUCGCCGGCGGUCUUUACACCGCCGGACAGUAUCUUCAUUAUCUAGCUUCGAC